AUGGACGUAAACGCUAGCCCCGGCCCGGACGGCUUCGGACCCGCUUUCUUCAAAGCAAACUGGAACCUAGUCAAAGAUGACUUGCUCUCCCUUCUCUCUGAUUUUCACAGCUGUUCGGUGGAUCUGCGGCGCAUUAACAAAGCUUAUAUUGUCCUGGUUCCCAAAAAAUUAGGGGCAAAUCAACCCGAAAACUUUAGACCGGUCUCCCUCCAGAAUUGUGCAGUUAAGAUUGCAUCUAAAUGUUUAGCUAAUCGGACGCAAGUUGUCAUUCCUGAUAUUAUCCACCAAUUCCAAUCUGGUUUCAUUAGGGGCAGAGGAAUCACGGAUAAUUUUCUCCACGCCACCGACAUCAACCAGUCGUGCUUCAAAAGGAAAAUUCCCUCCAUUGUUCUUAAACUAGAUUUCCACAAAGCUUUUGACUCCGUUUCCUGGGCCGCUCUCUCUGCUAUUCUUUGUGCUAAAGGCUUUCCUGGGCUUUGGGAUAGAUGGAUCAAACUUCUUAACGGCACCUCUACCUCUGCUAUCUUGCUUAAUGGGAGACACGGGUCGUGGUUUCCAUGUCACGCGGGCUUAAGGCAGGGUGACUCCCUCUCGCCCUACCUAUUCAUUGUGAUCGCUGACGUUCUGCAACGCUUGAUCACCCAGGCCUCAGCGACCGGCAUGCUUUCUCACCCCCUAGAUCCCACUCUGCCGUGCCCAGUUUUGCAAUACGCCGAUGACACACUGAUUGUGUUGCCAGCUUCUGCAGACCAACUCCUUCCCCUCAAGCGACUUCUCUUGCAAUUUUCAGAGGCCACUAAACUCACUAUUAAUUUUAGCAAAAGCACCUUCUCCCCCAUUCAUGUUGACGCGGAUACCUCUCGGCAUCUUGCCACGUUGCUAGCUUCCCUCUAUCCUACCUGGGUCUCCCGCUAUCUACUUCAAAGCUAA
This 930-nucleotide ribosomal RNA is filed under the name Triticum aestivum (bread wheat). RNAcentral's name for it is "partial small subunit ribosomal RNA". The record is from RNAcentral. Lineage: Eukaryota; Viridiplantae; Streptophyta; Magnoliopsida; Poales; Poaceae.